RNAcentral lists this ribosomal RNA (253 nucleotides) under uncultured bacterium. RNAcentral describes it as "partial 16S ribosomal RNA". It matches the Rfam family "Bacterial small subunit ribosomal RNA", at positions 524 to 776 of the family's 1533-position model. The record is from RNAcentral.
UACGUAGGGGGCAAGCGUUGUCCGGAUUUAUUGGGCGUAAAGAGCGUGUAGGCGGCCAGACAGGUCCGUUGUGAAAACUCGAGGCUCAACCUCGAGAUGUCGAUGGAAACCGUCUGGCUAGAGUCCGGAAGAGGAGUGUGGAAUUCCUGGUGUAGCGGUGAAAUGCGCAGAUAUCAGGAAGAACACCUAUGGCGAAGGUAGCACUCUGGGACGGUACUGACGCUGAGACGCGAAAGCGUGGGGAGCGAACAGG